Molecule: non-coding RNA, 43 nt
Filed under: Schistosoma mansoni
Lineage: Eukaryota; Metazoa; Platyhelminthes; Trematoda; Strigeidida; Schistosomatidae
Source: RNAcentral
AUCCAGAUGAAGUCUCAAAUAGGACGAAACGCGUAUCCUGGAU